GGUAAAAUGGCUGAGGUUUAGGCAAUAGACUGUAAAUCUAUUUAGGAGGAAAUAUCCCUCUUUUACCA
RNAcentral lists this transfer RNA (68 nucleotides) under Maccaffertium mediopunctatum. Its description in RNAcentral is "tRNA-Tyr". It matches the Rfam family "tRNA". Rfam says of the family: Transfer RNA (tRNA) molecules are approximately 80 nucleotides in length. Their secondary structure includes four short double-helical elements and three loops (D, anti-codon, and T loops). Further hydrogen bonds mediate the characteristic L-shaped molecular structure. tRNAs have two regions of fundamental functional importance: the anti-codon, which is responsible for specific mRNA codon recognition, and the 3' end, to which the tRNAs corresponding amino acid is attached (by aminoacyl-tRNA synthetases). tRNAs cope with the degeneracy of the genetic code in two manners: having more than one tRNA (with a specific anti-codon) for a particular amino acid; and 'wobble' base-pairing, i.e. permitting non-standard base-pairing at the 3rd anti-codon position. Lineage: Eukaryota; Metazoa; Arthropoda; Insecta; Ephemeroptera; Heptageniidae. The record is from RNAcentral.